GCUCAGAACGAACGCCGGCGGCGUGCCUAACACAUGCAAGUCGAGCGAGAAAGCCCGCAAGGGUGAGUAAAGCGGCGCACGGGUGAGUAACACGUGGGUAAUCUGCCCUAGAGUCCGGAAUAACUCGCCGAAAGGCGUGCUAAUGCCGGAUGAGACCACGGGAGCCUCGGCUCCUGCGGGAAAAGGUGGCCUCUGUACACAAGCUAUCACUCUAGGAUGAGCCCGCGGCCCAUCAGCUCGUUGGCGGGGUAAUGGCCCACCAAGGCUACGACGGGUAGCUGGUCUGAGAGGACGAUCAGCCACACUGGAACUGAGACACGGUCCAGACUCCUACGGGAGGCAGCAGUGGGGAAUCUUGCGCAAUGGGCGAAAGCCUGACGCAGCAACGCCGCGUGUGUGAUGAAGGUCUUCGGAUCGUAAAGCACUCUCGCGAGGGACGAAUAAGGGGCGGGCUAACAUCCCGUUCCGAUGACGGUACCUCGAGAGGAAGCACCGGCUAACUCUGUGCCAGCAGCCGCGGUAAUACAGAGGGUGCAAGCGUUGUUCGGAAUUAUUGGGCGUAAAGCGCGUGUAGGCGGCCUUGCAAGUUGGGUGUGAAAGCCCUCGGCUUAACCGAGGAAGUGCGCCCAAAACUACGAGGCUUGAGUGCCGGAGAGGGUGGCGGAAUUCCCGGUGUAGAGGUGAAAUUCGUAGAUAUCGGGAGGAACACCAGUGGCGAAGGCGGCCACCUGGACGGUAACUGACGCUGAGACGCGAAAGCGUGGGGAGCAAACAGGAUUAGAUACCCUGGUAGUCCACGCUGUAAACGAUGAGCGCUAGGUGUUGUGGGUGUUGACCCCCGCAGUGCCGCAGCUAACGCAUUAAGCGCUCCGCCUGGGAAGUACGGCCGCAAGGCUAAACUAAAU
This 905-nucleotide ribosomal RNA is filed under the name uncultured bacterium. RNAcentral describes it as "bacterial SSU rRNA". It matches the Rfam family "Bacterial small subunit ribosomal RNA", at positions 22 to 905 of the family's 1533-position model. The record is from RNAcentral.